This is a non-coding RNA of Oryctolagus cuniculus (rabbit), 1342 nucleotides long. Lineage: Eukaryota; Metazoa; Chordata; Mammalia; Lagomorpha; Leporidae. The record is from RefSeq and is a predicted model, not a curated record.
UCAGAGGGACUUUCAGAACAGAGAUCCAGGUACAUGAGGCUGAGUGAGCUCCGAAGCCCCCUCUGAUCUGUGGGUUCCCCCCUUUUAUAAAAAAUAUUUAUUUAUAUAAUUGAAAGGCAGACUGAUAGGUUGGAGGGAGAGGUCUUGCAUCCACUAGUUCAUUCCCCAAAUGGCUACAACAGCCAAAGACAGGCCAGCCCGAAGCCAGGAUCCAGGAACUCCGUGCAGGUCUCCCAUGUGGGUGACAGGGACCCGAAGCCAGGAUCCAGGAACCCCGUGCAGGUCUCCCGUGUGGGUGGCAGGGACCCGAAGCCAGGAUCCAGGAACCCCGUGCAGGUCUCCCGUGUGGGUGACAGGGACCCGAAGCCAGGAUCCAGGAACCCCGUGCAGGUCUCCCGUGUGGGUGGCAGGGACCCGAAGCCAGGAUCCAGGAACCCCGUGCAGGUCUCCCGUGUGGGUGACAGGGACCCGAAGCCAGGAUCCAGGAACCCCGUGCAGGUCUCCCGUGUGGGUGACAGGGACCCGAAGCCAGGAUCCAGGAACCCCGUGCAGGUCUCCCGUGUGGGUGACAGGGACCCGAAGCCAGGAUCCAGGAACUCCGUGCAGGUCUCCCAUGUGGGUGACAGGGACCCGAGUACUUGGGUCCUCACCUGCUGCUUCCACAGGUGCACCAGUGGGGAGCCGGGUUGGAAGCAGAGCAGCCGAGACUUGAACCCACGCUCUGAUAGGGGAUGCUGUGUUGCCCACGGCAGCCUACCCCACUGCGCCACAGCCCGGGCCAUGGUUCCCUUUCCCAAACUUUCUGUUUGCCACAGUCGGCCUCGGUCCGAUAAUGUUCCGUGGCAGAAAUACAUGAUCCCGAGUGGUCAGCUGUGCCCAGCUUUGCAUGCCACUGUCCUGGGUGUGGACCAUCUGUGCAGCGUGUCCACGCGGUGUACACUACCCUCCUGUUCCUCACUUGGUGGCUGCCCUUGUCACCAGGCCCGUUGUUGAAGGAUGGCGCUGCUAUGUUCAGACAGCCCUCGCUCGGCAGUGGCCCCAGAGUGCCAGAGGUGUGGUGUUUGCCGUGCCGUGAGAUCAUUGGUUCUGGCCCUGCCCGAGCAACCACAGGCGGGACUUGGAGUCCAGUAGGUAUGCAGCAGGCUGAAUAUUAAGUUGAGAGUUUUGUACGGCCUGCGAUGAUGUUGUAAACCUGCAGAGGACCCUGGGCGGGGAAGAGGAGUGCCCACCCCUGCAAGUGCAAGGUGAAUGCUCGGACCUAGCACGGAAGGGGAGGUAGCUGGACGCUGAGGUUGCUGGGACGGGUGGAAGGAACUGACCCUGGACUCUGUGAACUCGUGGA